This 219-nucleotide non-coding RNA is filed under the name uncultured Blautia sp. The record is from RNAcentral. Lineage: Bacteria; Bacillati; Bacillota; Clostridia; Lachnospirales; Lachnospiraceae.
AAUCUCAUCCAGUAAGGUGUAGCCGCACCACUGGUAGCGAGUUUUGGGGAUACAGAGGUAACGAUGUAUUCUAAGUGUAAACAGUUAGGAAAUAGGGCUGAAAGUGAUUGAGCUCCGAAAUCUACGUAACCCGUAGGUCGACGUUUUCUUUCGGACGGAAGACAAUACGUAUGUUUCUGUUUGGGUUAGGAAGCAUAUGCUACGGCGGAGUCUGAGAGC